UCCAUUCUCAAUCAUGAUUUGAACCCUUGC
RNAcentral lists this non-coding RNA (30 nucleotides) under Rattus norvegicus (Norway rat). The record is from RNAcentral. Lineage: Eukaryota; Metazoa; Chordata; Mammalia; Rodentia; Muridae.